Long non-coding RNA from Pongo pygmaeus (Bornean orangutan), 1266 nucleotides. RefSeq lists it as uncharacterized. The transcript is spliced from 4 exons. Lineage: Eukaryota; Metazoa; Chordata; Mammalia; Primates; Hominidae. The record is from RefSeq and is a predicted model, not a curated record.
GUGGCAUUUCAGGAGCUUGGAGAAAGAGGAUGGAGAAGAGCCCUACAGCUGCAUAACCUCCUGAGAGAGGACUUCUAUAGUUUGCAGUGGAGAACUGGAGAUGGUGCUCAUUCACAGAUAUCUAACACUCGAUACUGUCCCCAGCUUGUCAUUUGCCUCCUGGUUAUGUUUGCUGAUCCAGUGCAGAACCCCAUCGGGUGCAGAGUAGGACGACAUGAGAGAGCCAAGGCUGGAGAGUUAGGCACAGGCUAGGUCACCUAAGGACUAGCUGCUCAUGCAAAGGAGCAAGGAGGUGCUACUGACGAGGGUAGGACUUUAAAAUAUCUAGGGAGUGAAGUCUUCAGGUUUUGCUGACUGGAUAAGGGACGUGGGAUCCAAGAAGGUGAUGCAGGCAACACCAACUCUGGCUUUGGCCUUGAGGUGGACAGUGGUGUCUCGAAUUAUUAAUAAAUGGUCAUCAGGUAGAAGCAUGUUUUGGGAGGAAAAUGAUAAGCAUUAGAGUUACAGUCUUUGCAGUUCCUGCAACAACCAGUAUUUAGCUGUCAGAGCCUCACAGCUUAGUACAGUUCCUGGCACAAUGGAUUGCUUAGUAAAAUUGAAAUGAAUUCAUUAUCGGCUUCCAUCAAGAAAGAUGAUGAUCUUCUCUUUGGUGACUGUUUGAUCUCUGUGCCUAGUACUGGCAGCCUCACAAUUAAUUUAAUGUAAUUAAUUUAUUUUUUUGAGAUGCAGUCUCACUCUGUCACCCAGGCCAGAGUGCAGUGGCGCGAUCUCGGCUCACCGCAACCUCCGCCUCCUGGAUUCAAGUGAUUCUCCUGCCUCAGCCUCCCUGAGUAGCUGGGAAAACAGGCACCCACCACCAUGCCCAGCUAAUUUUUGUAUUUUUAGUAGAGACGGGGUUUUGCCACAUUGGCCAGGCUGGUCUUGAACCCCUGACCUCAGGUGAUCCAUCCGCCUUGGCCUCCCAAAGUGCCAGGAUUACAGACAUGAGCCACCACGCCCGGCCCACAAUUAAUUUUAAUAAUCUCACUUCUGCUUCCUAGGAACCCGAAGACAGUAAAGGUCAUAAAUGAUGUACCUUUUACAUCUGGCAGAGGGCCAGGACAGUUCUGGGGUUCAUAUUUCUCUCCUUCUCUACUCUGAGCAUCUUCUUUGUGGCUGGGGUAAAGAAGCUCACUGUGGACUCUCAUUCAGUCUCGGGUGCAUUGGGCAACCUCUGGGAAAAGCACUGCUCUGAUGAACAGGGGAAUGAACGACUGCUGCCACACA